Molecule: ribosomal RNA, 497 nt
Filed under: uncultured bacterium
Lineage: Bacteria
Description: partial 16S ribosomal RNA
Rfam family: Bacterial small subunit ribosomal RNA
Source: RNAcentral
GACGAACGCUGGCGGCGUGCCUAAUACAUGCAAGUAGAACGCUGAAGAGAGGAGCUUGCUCUUCUUGGAUGAGUUGCGAACGGGUGAGUAACGUGUAGGUAACCUGCCUUGUAGCGGGGGAUAACUAUUGGAAACGAUAGCUAAUACCGCAUAACAAUGGAUGACACAUGUCAUUUAUUUGAAAGGGGCAAUUGCUCCACUACAAGAUGGACCUGCGUUGUAUUAGCUAGUAGGUGAGGUAACGGCUCACCUAGGCGACGAUACAUAGCCGACCUGAGAGGGUGAUCGGCCACACUGGGACUGAGACACGGCCCAGACUCCUACGGGAGGCAGCAGUAGGGAAUCUUCGGCAAUGGGGGCAACCCUGACCGAGCAACGCCGCGUGAGUGAAGAAGGUUUUCGGAUCGUAAAGCUCUGUUGUAAGUCAAGAACGAGUGUGAGAGUGGAAAGUUCACACUGUGACGGUAGCUUACCAGAAAGGGACGGCUAACUACGUG